GAAAUGCGGCUCAGUGGUAGAGUUCUUGCCUAACAUGCAUGAGGCCCUGGUUUGAUCCCUAGCAACACA
This 69-nucleotide transfer RNA is filed under the name Marmota monax (woodchuck). RNAcentral's name for it is "tRNA.Val". Lineage: Eukaryota; Metazoa; Chordata; Mammalia; Rodentia; Sciuridae. The record is from RNAcentral.